AUACGAAGGGUGCAAGCGUUACUCGGAAUUACUGGGCGUAAAGCGUGCGUAGGUGGUUUGUUAAGUCUGAUGUGAAAGCCCUGGGCUCAACCUGGGAACUGCAUUGGAUACUGGCUGACUAGAGUGCGGUAGAGGGUAGCGGAAUUCCCGGUGUAGCAGUGAAAUGCGUAGAUAUCGGGAGGAACAUCCGUGGCGAAGGCGGCUACCUGGACCAGCACUGACACUGAGGCACGAAAGCGUGGGGAGCAAACAGGAUUAGAUACCCUGGUAGUCCACGCCCUAAACGAUGCGAACUGGAUGUUGGGGACACUUAGGUCUUCAGUAUCGAAGCUAACGCGUUAAGUUCGCCGCCUGGGAAGUACGGUCGCAAGACUGAA
This 377-nucleotide ribosomal RNA is filed under the name uncultured bacterium. Its description in RNAcentral is "bacterial SSU rRNA". It matches the Rfam family "Bacterial small subunit ribosomal RNA", at positions 523 to 898 of the family's 1533-position model. The record is from RNAcentral.